CAGCAGCAGCCGCGGUAAUACGUAGGUGGCAAGCGUUGUCCGGAAUUAUUGGGCGUAAAGGGCUCGCAGGCGAUUUCUUAAGUCUGAUGUGAAAGCCCCCGGCUCAACCGGGGAGGGUCAUUGGAAACUGGGAAACUUGAGUGCAGAAGAGGAGAGUGGAAUUCCACGUGUAGCGGUGAAAUGCGUAGAGAUGUGGAGGAACACCAGUGGCGAAGGCGACUCUCAGGUCUGUAACUGACGCUGAGGAGCGAAAGCGUGGGGAGCGAACAGGAUUAGAUACCCGUGUAGUCCCUGUCUCUUAUAA
This 304-nucleotide ribosomal RNA is filed under the name uncultured bacterium. RNAcentral describes it as "partial 16S ribosomal RNA". It matches the Rfam family "Bacterial small subunit ribosomal RNA", at positions 506 to 809 of the family's 1533-position model. The record is from RNAcentral.